UUUUUUUUUUUUUUUUUUCUUUUUUUGUCUUUUUGCUAUUUCUUUGGGCCGCUCCCUUGGCAUAUGGAGGUUCCCAGGCUAGGGGUUGAAUCGGAGGUGUAGCCACUGGCCUACGCCAGAGCCACAGCAACGCGGGAUACGGGAUACGAGCCGUGUCUGCAACCUACACCACAGCUCACAGCAACACCGGAUCGUUAACCCACUGAGCAAGGGCAGGGACCGAACCUGCAACCUCAUGGUUCCUAGUUGGAUUCGUAAACCACUGCGCCACGACGGGAACUCCCUAUCCUUCCUUUUAAAGUCUGUUUCGUCUGAUAUGCGUAUUGCAACUCCUGAUUUCCUGUCUUGUCCAUUGACAUGAAAUAGCUUUUUCCAUCCCCUCACUUUCAAUUUUAUGUGUCUUUGCCAUACGGCAAGUCUCUCAUAGAUAGCAUAUUGUAGGCUCUUGUUUUUCAUCCAAUCUGUCACUCCAUGUCUUUUGAUUGGAGUAUUCAAUCCAUUGACAUUAAGGUAACUAUUGAUAAAGAUAUGUUUAUUGCCAUUUUAAACCUUGUUUCCCAGUUGAUUUUAUGUUUCUCCUUUUUUUCCGGCUGGAUGAUUUCCUUUUAUUUCGUGCUCGUGUCCUCUUCUUUUUAGUUUUUGUGAGGGUAAUGUUUGGUUUUGAUUUGUGAUUGCCCUGCGUUUCAAGUAUAUUAACCCCUUUCUAUAUCUGCUUACUUUAGCCUGAUAGUCAUAUAGGCUCAAACACAUUCUUAAAAAAGGAGUCUAGAUUUUAUUUUCCUUCCCCACAUUUUAUGAUUUUGAAGUCCUUUUUAAAAUAUCUUCAUGUUUGUCCUUUUGUUCUUUCUUGUGUUUAUCAUUGCUUUUAUAAUGUUUUUUUUUCUUUUAGAUCUGUAUACUGGCUUAUUUAAGUGAUUUCUAGUUGUGAUUUCCUCCAUUCUAUUUCUUAUAACUUUUUUUUGGGUCUUUUUGCCUUUUCUAGGGCCGCUUCCAUGGCAUAUGGAGGUUCCCAGGCUAGGGGUCGAAUUGGAGCUGUAGCCCCUGGCCUAUGCCACAGCCACAGCAAUGUGGGAUCCCAACCUCGUCUGCAACUGGCAUCACAGCUCACGGCAAUGCCGGAUACUUGACCCACUGAGCAAGGCCAAGGAUCGAAACCGCAACCUCAUGGUUCCUAGUUGGAUUUGUUAACCACUGAGCCAUGAUGGGAACUCCCUUACUUCUUUUUUAUUUAUUUACAGGAGCCCUUUCAUUAUUUCUUUUAGAAUGGGUUUAGAACCUCUGUACUCUUUUAGUUUUUGUUUGUUGGAGAAAUUCUUUAUUUCUCCUUUUAUUUUAAAUGAUAUUCUUGCUGAGUAUAGUACUCUAGGCUGCAAAAUUUUCCCUAUCUCAUUAGUUUCUUUAGGCCUGUAGUGUUUCAGUAGCGAAAUCAGCUGAUAGCAUGAUGGGGGUCCCCUUAUAAUUAAUUCUUUGCUUUUCUCUUGUUGCCUUUAGAAUCCUCUCUUUAUCUUUAACUUUUGUCAUUUUUAUUAUGGUAUAUCUUGGUGUAGGCCUGUUUGGUUUCAGCUUGUUUGGGGCUCUCUGUGCUUCCUGUAUCUUGAUAUCUGCUUCCUUUAUUUAUUUUAAUUUUUUUUGGCUUUUUAGGGCCACACCCAUGGAAUAUGCAGGUUCCCAGGCUAGGGGUCCAGUCAGAGCUGUAACUGCCAGCCUACUCCACAGUCACAGUAACUCAGGAUCCAAGCUGCAUCUGUGACCUUCACCACAGCUCACAGAAACUGCUGGAUCCUUAACCCACUGAGCGAGGCCAGGGAUCAAACCUGUGUCUUCAUGGAUACUAAUGUUUGUUAACCACCGAGCCAUGACGGGGACUCUUGAUUCCUUUAAAUUUGGAAAGUUUUCGGCCAUGAUUUCUUCUUUAUAUUUUCAAUUCCUUUUACUUUUUCUUCUCCUUCUUGAAUCCCUAUUAUGCACAGAUUGGCCCACUUUAUAUUAUUCCACAGAUAAUAUUUUUCUUUCAUAUUUUUUCAUUUGGUUUUCUGUCUGCUGUUCUGAUUGGGUGAUUUCCAUUAUUCUAUCUUCCAAGUCACUAAUUCAUUCCUCUGCAUUAUUCAUUCUACUCUUCAGUGCCUUUAACUCAGUUUACAUCUAUGCAAAUUGAUUUUCUAAUUAUUCUUGGCUCCUAUAUUUUCUGGUUCUUUUCUAAAGUAAUCUGUGUUACUGUUCAUAUUUUCUCCUUUUAUUUUUUGUCUUUUCUAGGCCUGAACCCAUGGCAUAUGGAGGUUCCCAGGCUAGGAGUCUAAUCAGAGCUGUAGCUGCUGACCUACACCAGAGCCACAACAAUGUGGCAUCCGAGCCACCUCUGCAACCUACACCACAGCUCACAGCAAUGCCGGAUCCUUAACCCACUGAGCGAGGCCAGGGAUCAAACCUGCAACCUCAUGGUUUUUAGUUGGAUUCGUUAACCAUUGAGCCACAAUGGGGACUCCCAUAUUUGCUCUUAAUUCCUUCGUAUUUGCUCUUAAUUCCUUCAGCAUUUUCACUGUCUUCUUUUCGAACUUGCUGUCUGUUAAGACUGCAGAGGUCUGUUUCAUUGUUUGCUCCUUCAGGGAAAGUCUCCUAUUCUUUUAACUGGGAAUGGUUCCUGAGCUUCUUUAUCUUGCUUAUAUUUUUCAUAUCCUGUGAGGGUAAGGAAAACAGCUACUGUAGUCUUGAAGGGAUAUUUAUAUGUGAAAUUUCCCCUGGAUAUUUUGUGAGGGCUUACUAUUUAUUUUUGGUGUGAGGGCUGCUUUUGGUUUGGAUAUUUGUUGUCUCUUUUUGUCUCAUAUUCCAGUGUGUGCUGGCAGUUAUCCCCUUGAUAGUGUACUGCAUGUACUUGCAGGGAGGCAAUGGGCAGGGCUAGUAGCCAGUGCCUGCUUCCUGGGCCCUUGACAGUGGCAAGGACCCACGGGAAGGUGGUGCAAGCUGAUCCUACUGGCAGGGCCCUGCAAAAUGGUAGUGACCCUUAUGCAGGAGUAGGCAGCUUGUGGAGUGUUUGACAAUGGCAAAAGCAGGGCAGGUGUCUUCCCAGGGGAGUGAGAACAACAACGGGUCGUUCUUGGUUACAGUGCCCUCCUCUGUGCCGAACUCUGAGUUGACUGGGGCUGCAGGUGGUGCCUGUUCAUGGACCCCUAGUGGUGGCAGGUCAGGCCCACCUCUGGAGCAUGAGAUGACUGUGGUGGCUUGCCCCCACUGCCUGUAGACCACACAAGAGGUACACCAUCCCGCUUAGUCUUUGCAAGAGGCGCCUUGCUGCCCAUAUCCCUACCCUAUGAGAGUCUGCACACAUGC
This 3324-nucleotide long non-coding RNA is filed under the name Sus scrofa (pig). RNAcentral's name for it is "lncRNA (ENSSSCG00000063496.1)". Lineage: Eukaryota; Metazoa; Chordata; Mammalia; Artiodactyla; Suidae. The record is from RNAcentral.